GUACGUGUUCGAAAAUCUAGGUUUAGAACUGAAUAGAGGGGAGAGAGUCGAGUGAAAACAGCAAAAAAAAAAUAGAGUUUUUUAGCUCCGGUGCGGCGGCGCCGCCGCGAUGGCUCGCCGGCCACCGCACCGGAGUCUGCUCCAACCACCCUUCUCGCCGGAGAAGAAGUUUGAGAGAGAAGAGAGAAUUUUGAGGUAAAGAGAGAGAAAUGUUUGUAAAAAUGAGUUAAAAAAACCGGUUACCACAUAUAUAUAGUACCCUAAACCGGUUCGGUUCUCCUGAACCGAUUCAGGCUUGAACCAAACCGGUUUAAGCCCACUAAGCGCGCCCAAGCCUCUCCAUGAAGCCCAAUUCUUUUUUUUUACUUCCUGCACCCCCCUGCUUACUACCUGCACCCCCAUCAUCUUUCUUUUUACCGUUUUCAUGCGUUUUUAAAUGCAUUUAUUUUUUCUUUAGCAUUUUUAUUUCUUUUAUCUUAUUAUUUAUCAGCAUUCACAUAUUUAUUUUAUAUCUUUUAUUUACUUGCAUUGAUUUAGAAUGUACAAUAGGCAUUGAUGUAAAUAAUUUAUUUAUUUCUUCUUGUCAUUUAUUUUCUGCAGACCUUAGAAUGUAAAUAGGCUUUUAUGUAAUAGUGUAGGUGCAUGUGUGUGUAUGCCUCUUAUCUGCUUUGUAGUUUAGGUCAAAGGUCCUUGUGGUGGUCCAAUACCCCAUGAGGUACNNNNNNNNNNNNNNNNNNNNNNNNNNNNNNNNNNNNNNNNNNNNNNNNNNNNNNNNNNNNNNNNNNNNNNNNNNNNNNNNNNNNNNNNNNNNNNNNNNNNCGACCGGGCUUACCACAUAUAUAUAGUACCCUAAACCGGUUCGGUUCUCCUGAACCGAUUCAGGCUUGAACCAAACCGGUUUAAGCCCACUAAGCGCGCCCAAGCCUCUCCAUGAAGCCCAAUUCUUUUUUUUUUAUUUCCUGCACCCCCCUGCUUACUACCUGCACCCCCAUCAUCUUUCUUUUUACCAUUUUCAUGCGUUUUUAAAUUUCCCUUGCAUUUAUUUUUUCUUUAGCAUUUUUAUUUCUUUUAUCUUAUUAUUUAUCAGCAUUCACAUAUUUAUUUUAUAUCUUUUAUUUACUUGCAUUGAUUUAGAAUGUACAAUAGGCAUUGAUGUAAAUAAUUUAUUUAUUUCUUCUUGUCAUUUAUUUUCUGCAGACCUUAGAAUGUAAAUAGGCUUUUAUGUAAUAGUGUAGGUGCAUGUGUGUGUAUGCCUCUUAUCUGCUUUGUAGUUUAGGUCAAAGGUCCUUGUGGUGGUCCAAUACCCCAUGAGGUACCUACGUUUUUUAUUUUUAUGCUCCGUUAGUUUAAUUUUUUAGUCCAAUUAUUCAAAAACAACAAAAACAUGCAAAUAACAAAAAUCACAAAAAUAUUUUCAUAAACAAACCUUGAUCCUAAAUCAAGUGAUCGUCUCUUUUUAUUUUUAUUUCUUUAAUCAAAUUUCAAUCAACUUUAAUUCAACUUUAAGUCAUUUUCUUUAAUAUAAAAAACACAAACAAAUUCUUAUUUGCCACUUGGCUUUUCAUUUUAAAACCUUUUUCAAAAUUAAUAAAAAAACACUCAACAAAUCAAACGUCGUUUUCUACCCCGAACUACGAGGUUUUGAUCCCUCACGGGUACGUAGGCAGAGGACCAUGUCCUUCCAAAUCAAUAAAAAAUGUAGAUAAUUAGGUCUUUAUUUUUCCACUUUAAUUCCUUCUUUUCAAAAAUAAGCAAGCAAGUUAUAGCACAUUAAUUAAAUAAAAUCAAGAGGUUCCCGUAGAGUACUACGGACAUAAGGGGUGCUAAUACCUUCCCUUUAUGUAACUAACCCCCGAACCCAAAAUCUUUUCAAAAUGGGGUAGUUUGAACUUUUUUUCCCCUCUUUCUUAAAAAAAAAUAUAAAUGUUCAGUCGUGAAAUAAAUUAGCGAGUCAAAAGCUAAUCAAAUAGCCUUGAUCUCCGAAAAAUGACGCGACACCAUGCCACUCAUAAAAAUCUUCAAAGAAUUCAAAAUGUCAUUUAUAGGAGAAGUGGCCAAAAGGAACUUGAAGUACUAUACUUCAAAAAAUGUAUCUCACAUCAAGCUUAGUGUUAAUCCUCUUGCUCAACCACUUCAUAACAUUCCCCUUCCAAUGGAAGCUUUCAACACGCAAGAAGAAGAAGAAAAUCCUCUUCACAGUCUAGUGAAUGCGAUAAUUGUCAACGACCAUUUGUCCUCUCAAUCUGCUCCAUCCAACUCUCAUGGUUCUCAAAAUCAUGAACUAGCCAACCAUUUUGCUCUCAAUGUAUCAACAGAUCUCAAACUCUUCACUGGUCUUGAAAAUUUUUCUACUCAAAUCAUUUAUGCCCCCUUGCCAAACGUUGAAAACUCUGCUCUGUUCGGCACCUCCUGUUUGAACAAGUUCAUUCACUCUCCAAAGAAUGACACUCUCCCUCUGAGUGAGAUGCCUCAAAUCCCUUCACACUUUAGCUCUUUUGAUAGCUUUAAAUCCACUGGAACAUCUCCUAAGAAUGAUCCUCCACAAGAACCUGAGAACUCAGUUAUCUCAAAUGGAAUGUUGUUUGCUGAAGUUACCUCUCUUCGUGGAGAUGUGAACAAUCUGCGUGAAUGUUUUGUUUCAUUCAUGUUUCAAUAUCUGGGCAUGAUGGCACCUGUUUCCAGCGGUGAUCCUGGUUCCUCAUCCAACCCACCUCCAAAUCCUCUGUAGCUUGCUCUGUUUCAAUAACUUGCUCUUUUUGACGAAGACAAAAGGGGGAGAAAGCAUGUGUUACAACACUGCAUGAACAAAUUUGAAAAAUGCUCCUUUUAUAUCUUUUGGGUGUAGACUAUUAAGCACAUGGGUGAACUUUGUUUACUUUGCUUAGUAUUUAUGUCUUAAUGUUUUUUAGUUUUUUUUUUUUGCCAAGUAUCCUAAAAAUGGACUUUUGAACUUUAGCAAUUUAUGGCUAAGAAUGGAACUUCAAGGUUAUAUGUAUUUUAGUCCCUUUCUAUGAUUAAUGCAAUGUUAUAUGUCCUUAUCUAUGUUCAAUGAAAGCUACC
Molecule: long non-coding RNA, 3060 nt
Filed under: Medicago truncatula (barrel medic)
Lineage: Eukaryota; Viridiplantae; Streptophyta; Magnoliopsida; Fabales; Fabaceae
Description: long non-coding RNA (MTRU_LNC006962)
Source: RNAcentral